UACAGAGGUCUCGAGCGUUGUUCGGAUUCAUUGGGCGUAAAGGGCGCGUAGGCGGCGGGGUAAGUCUGGUGUGAAAUCUAGGAGCUCAACUCCUAAACUGCACUGGAUACUGCUCUGCUAGAGGACUGGAGAGGAGACUGGAAUUCACGGUGUAGCAGUGAAAUGCGUAGAGAUCAUGAGGAAGACCAGUGGCGAAGGCGGGUCUCUGGACAGUUCCUGACACUGAGACACGAAGGCCAGGGGAGCAAACGGG
This 253-nucleotide ribosomal RNA is filed under the name uncultured bacterium. Its description in RNAcentral is "partial 16S ribosomal RNA". It matches the Rfam family "Bacterial small subunit ribosomal RNA", at positions 524 to 776 of the family's 1533-position model. The record is from RNAcentral.